Molecule: ribosomal RNA, 444 nt
Filed under: uncultured bacterium
Lineage: Bacteria
Description: bacterial SSU rRNA
Rfam family: Bacterial small subunit ribosomal RNA
Source: RNAcentral
CCAGACUCCUACGGGAGGCAGCAGUGGGGAAUAUUGCACAAUGGGGGGAACCCUGAUGCAGCGACGCCGCGUGAGGGAAGAAGGUUUUCGGAUUGUAAACCUCUGUCCUCUGUGACGAUAAUGACGGUAGCAGAGGAGGAAGCCACGGCUAACUACGUGCCAGCAGCCGCGGUAAUACGUAGGUGGCGAGCGUUAUCCGGAAUUACUGGGUGUAAAGGGAGCGUAGACGGCAGCGCAAGUCUGGAGUGAAAUGCCGGGGCCCAACCCCGGAACUGCUCUGGAAACUGUGAAGCUGGAGUGCAGGAGAGGUAAGCGGAAUUCCUGGUGUAGCGGUGAAAUGCGUAGAUAUCAGGAGGAACACCGGCGGCGAAGGCGGCUUACUGGACUGUAACUGACGUUGAGGCUCGAAGGCGUGGGGAGCAAACAGGAUUAGAUACCCGGGUA